This 441-nucleotide ribosomal RNA is filed under the name uncultured bacterium. RNAcentral's name for it is "partial 16S ribosomal RNA". It matches the Rfam family "Bacterial small subunit ribosomal RNA", at positions 338 to 795 of the family's 1533-position model. The record is from RNAcentral.
CCUACGGGUGGCUGCAAUGGGGAAUAUUUCGCAAUGGGGGAAACCCUGACGCAGCAACGCCGCGUGAGUGAAGAAGUUUCUCGGUAUGUAAAGCUCUAUCAGAGGGGAAGAAGGAAGACGGUACCCGACUAAGAAGCCCCGGCUAACUACGUGCCAGCAGACGCGGUAAUACGUAGGGGGCGCGCGUUAUCCGGAUUUCCUGUGUGUAAAGGGAUCGUAGACGGCGUCGAAUGGCUGAAGUGAAAGCCCGGGGCUCAACCGCGGAAUCGCUUUGGAAACUGCGAGGCUGGAGUGCUGGAGGGGUAAGCGGAAUUCCUGGUGUAGCGGUGAAAUGCGUAGAUAUCAGGAGGAACACCGGUGGCGAAGGCGGCUUACUGGACAGUGACUGACGUUGAGGCUCGAAAGCGUGGGGAGCGAACAGGAGUAGAUACCCUGGUAGUC